Molecule: ribosomal RNA, 465 nt
Filed under: Vreelandella stevensii
Lineage: Bacteria; Pseudomonadati; Pseudomonadota; Gammaproteobacteria; Oceanospirillales; Halomonadaceae
Description: partial 16S ribosomal RNA
Rfam family: Bacterial small subunit ribosomal RNA
Source: RNAcentral
CCUACGGGUGGCAGCAGUGGGGAAUAUUGGACAAUGGGGGCAACCCUGAUCCAGCCAUGCCGCGUGUGUGAAGAAGGCCCUCGGGUUGUAAAGCACUUUCAGUGAGGAAGAACGCCUGGUGGUUAAUACCCAUCAGGAAAGACAUCACUCACAGAAGAAGCACCGGCUAACUCCGUGCCAGCAGCCGCGGUAAUACGGAGGGUGCGAGCGUUAAUCGGAAUUACUGGGCGUAAAGCGCGCGUAGGUGGCUUGAUAAGCCGGUUGUGAAAGCCCCGGGCUCAACCUGGGAACGGCAUCCGGAACUGCCAAGCUAGAGUGCAGGAGAGGAAGGUAGAAUUCCCGGUGUAGCGGUGAAAUGCGUAGAGAUCGGGAGGAAUACCAGUGGCGAAGGCGGCCUUCUGGACUGACACUGACACUGAGGUGCGAAAGCGUGGGUAGCAAACAGGAUUAGAUACCCUUGUAGUC